CAAGAAUUUCAAGAAAGAAAGAAAAAAGAAGAAGAAAUUGAGGUGAGAAAGGGAAGAAAUUUCAGGGAGAGAGGAAGAAGAAAAGAAGGAAUAGAGGGAAAGAAGAGAGAAAGAGAGAAGAGCAGAGAAAAACCUGGAAUUCUGGAAGUUUGCAACACUCCCAUGAAUCUGCCCAGAGUUGUGACUCCAACAGAAAAUAUUGGAAACAAACCCAACUCAGAUCAAGGCUCUGAUACCAAAUUGUUACAUAACAGCCUGCCAACUAAGUGAAACAGAGGAAUAAGGAGAGAA
Molecule: unclassified non-coding RNA, 291 nt
Filed under: Hevea brasiliensis (rubber tree)
Lineage: Eukaryota; Viridiplantae; Streptophyta; Magnoliopsida; Malpighiales; Euphorbiaceae
Source: RNAcentral